This is a long non-coding RNA of Eriocheir sinensis (Chinese mitten crab), 644 nucleotides long. RefSeq lists it as uncharacterized. The transcript is spliced from 2 exons. Lineage: Eukaryota; Metazoa; Arthropoda; Malacostraca; Decapoda; Varunidae. The record is from RefSeq and is a predicted model, not a curated record.
CUCCCUGUUGAGGACCAGUAAUCUUUUGUAAUAUUAUAACUAAAUUUCAUUGUAGGCGGGAGUGUAUCAUCAAUGAUAUGUUUGUGUGCGCAUUGAUAUGUUUCUUUGUUCGUGCGCUUGUUGAAUGUAUUUUGUUGUUGACGUGGCGUUUCUGCCUUCCUGGAGGGUGCAGCCAUUGUGAGGAGUCAGUUGUGCUCCAGUGUUUACUCCACCGCCACCACCUCCCUGUCCAGGAUUUUGUGCCAUGUGGUUGGUGUUUGUGUAUUGACGGGUGGCGUAGGACUUUGUGUGUGCGCCGGUUCGGUAGGGAGGUGGUGGUGGUCAGUGCACUGACGGUGAUUUGUAUGCCGGGUACUUGGUACUGCCUGACGGCCAAUUAAGUGGUGAUACCUGGGUGGUGAUGGUCGUCGCCAAACUGCUGAAGCAAGCUGGUAACGGUCUGAUAUACCGGGACUAGGGCGAUUGGGCCGUAGGCCAAUGAAGUGAGUUAUGUCUUAUCAUUUAUUGUGUAUAGGAAUUGUUUACAUUGUUAUUGUUGGCUCAGAAAUAUUCAUCUAAUGUUACUACGUGAUGCUGUGUGUAAAAUUUCGUGAAUGACUCAUGCCAUGCUGCCCAUACAGGUUGAAAUAAGCGAUUUGACAACG